AGAGAGAGACAUGCGCGCAUAUCAAUAAGCGGAGGAAAAGAAACUAACUAGGAUUCCCUCAGUAACGGCGAGUGAAGCGGGAAGAGCUCAAAUUUGAAAUCUUCAAGGUUCUACCUUGACGAAUUGUAGUUUAAAGAAGUGUUUUCUGUUGGAGUUUUGGUAAAAGUUCUUUGGAAUAGGACAUCAUAGAGGGUGAGAAUCCCGUAUUUGACCAUUACUUUCAGCUUUGUGAUACACUUUCAAAGAGUCGGACUGUUUGGGAAUGCAGUCCAAAAUGGGUGGUAAAUUUCAUCUAAAGCUAAAUAUUGGCGAGAGACCGAUAGCGAACAAGUACCGUGAGGGAAAGAUGAAAAGAACUUUGAAAAGAGAGUUAAACAGUACGUGAAAUUGUCAAAAGGGAAGCGUUUGACACCAGUGUUGUUUUUCUGAAAAUCAAUUAAAAAACUGUUUAUGCUAAGCUGUUUAGACUUUAUCAGCUAUCUGUUUAGUUUUGAGCUUUUCUUUAAUGCACUUUUCAGUUAACAAGUCAACAUCAAUUUCUUUUGCUGUAAAAAAGCUUGAGGAAGGUGGCUUGAGAUUCGUCUUAAGUGUUUAUAGCCUCUUGCCUAUGCAGUCGGAGAGAUUGAGGUCUGCAGCGUAGAUCCUUCGGGGCUAAAUGCAUUUGUGCUAAGUUAUAACAUUUUAUAGACAACUUGUUGACUAUGAUUUGUCUUGUAGCUUACUCGCUUAUGUUAUUUUACCUACGCUUAGGAUGUUGAUGUGAUACUGCGAGCA
This 774-nucleotide ribosomal RNA is filed under the name uncultured Neocallimastigales. RNAcentral describes it as "partial large subunit ribosomal RNA". It matches the Rfam family "Eukaryotic large subunit ribosomal RNA", at positions 23 to 646 of the family's 3401-position model. The record is from RNAcentral. Lineage: Eukaryota; Fungi; Neocallimastigomycota; Neocallimastigomycetes; Neocallimastigales.